UUGUUUUUAAUAAUUGGCUACACCGGGUCUUAGUUGCUGCACAUGGGAUCUUCAGCCUUCAUUGCAGCAUACGGGAGCAGCAUGUGGGAGCUAGUUCCCUGACCGCGGAUUGAACCCAGGCCCCCUGCAUUGGGAAUGUGGGGUCGAAGCCCCUGAAUCACCAGAGAAGUCAGUAGAAGAGAGUUUUGCCACCUUGUACUGAAUAAAUGGUCUUCCAUCAGGAGGGAGGAGUCAUCCUGGAGGAUAGGAGUCCUUGAAUCUGGUUUCACACUCAUUUUGGAGACUGGGUUAAAAGCACUGCCCCAUUUUUUCUGGACUCAGGAAGAAGAUGCCGAGGUUGCAUGCACAGCCCACUCCCAGGGAAGCAGUAUGGAGCAGCCUAGGAAACCUGUCCCAACAAUCCGACUGAGCUCCUACUUCUUGUCUUUGUGACUUUAGGCCUUUUACCCAAACUCUCAAAAUCUCAGUUUCCUUCUUGGAAAACGGGGACAACAAAAAUACCUGCCUCUUGGAAUCACUGCACAGGCGGAAGGAAAUCAUCCACGUAGAGUGCUUGGCACACACCUGGUAAAGUUUCCGUGGAUGUCAGCUGUUGCUUUUUUUUUCCUUCUAGUUCCAAAGUCUCAGCUCAUUCCCCUCUACCUCAGUGUCCCCCACUCCUGGGAGGGGGGGCACUUUUUUUUCCCCAGAAAACUCUAGUUUACCAGUGGGUAAACCUGCUUGCUGACAGAAGAAAAACACCCAAAGGAAACAGGACUAUUUCACUAGGCCUGCUACCUCAUUCAAUAGUCACAACUCACACCCUGAAGUUUCUUCACAUAUAAAAGAGUGUCAAUGGAGAGAUGUUAAUUUUUCAAGACCUGCUCUCAGGUUCCAUCGUGCACUUACAGGAAGUAGAAGUUUGAUGGAGUGAAAAUCAAUACGUCUAUGGGUCUUACAAGAUGACCAGCUACUAGCUCAUCCAUGGGUUUUGGCUUGUCCUGCUUGGCUUCAGAAGAAGCUGCUCUCAGAGCCAUCAGGGUGUUCCCAAGAUGCUGGCAGCACUGUGCAUCUGCACUGGUGACAAGACCAAGGGACCACUCAGGGUGUUCUCAUUCCAGUCACUUAGCAGCUUGAAGUCUUUCUUCAGGAAAACAUGGCUCCAGUUCCCACGUCAGGAUCUUUGCCUGUCUCAUAAGACUUUUUCUACAUGUUUCUACCUGACACUAAUGACCCAUAAUGAACAAUGUAAAGAUGGUAGGGGCCCAGGAGGGGGAAAUGAGCAUUGGUGCAUUAUUUGGGGGCAUGAAGGGGAAGAAUAUCAUAAGGAAAAUAAUUCAAGAAGAAAGGAAGAGGACUUCCAUUCUGCAGGGUGGAAUAAAUGUUUGACUGAGCAGCAUUCUGUCCAGCUGGGGAAAGGCCAAGACUAAUUUAACCUUUGGUCAAAUGGUUGGGAGUUAGCUGGUUUCCUUUUUCCUCUUACAUCACUCCCAGAGAUUCAGACAAAAAUAACAUGGUCCCGAUUAUAUGACAUUAUGGGCUCUGAAAAUACACUAGGGAGGAUAGUGUUGAAACCCCUUCGAGACAAAUUAAUCCUAGCAAGGCAACAGCUGUAAGACUGAUACAAACAGAAGAAACAACAGCAUAUUGGUUCCAGGCUUGUUUAAGAG
This is a long non-coding RNA of Bos taurus (domestic cattle), 1649 nucleotides long. Lineage: Eukaryota; Metazoa; Chordata; Mammalia; Artiodactyla; Bovidae. The record is from Ensembl.